GCCUUCGUGGUGUAAUGGUCAGCACACUCGGUGCGUAUUCGAUAGGUCCGAGGUUCGAGUCCCGGCAAGGGCA
RNAcentral lists this transfer RNA (73 nucleotides) under Stegodyphus mimosarum. It matches the Rfam family "tRNA". Rfam says of the family: Transfer RNA (tRNA) molecules are approximately 80 nucleotides in length. The record is from Rfam by way of RNAcentral. Lineage: Eukaryota; Metazoa; Arthropoda; Arachnida; Araneae; Eresidae.